RNAcentral lists this ribosomal RNA (119 nucleotides) under Pteropus alecto (black flying fox). The record is from RNAcentral. Lineage: Eukaryota; Metazoa; Chordata; Mammalia; Chiroptera; Pteropodidae.
GUCUACGGCCAUGCUACCCUGAACAAGCCCGAUCUCCUCUGAUCUCGGAAGCUAAGCAGGGUCAGGCCUGGUUAGUACUUGGAUGGGAGACCACCCAGGAAGACCAGGUGCUGUAGGCG